AUUGAACGCUGGCGGCAGGCCUAACACAUGCAAGUCGAGCGAGAAAGGUCUUCGGACUGAGUAGAGCGGCGGACGGGUGAGUAACGCGUAGGAAUCUACCUAGUAGUGGGGGAUAACUUGGGGAAACUCAAGCUAAUACCGCAUACGCCCCAAGGGGGAAAGCGGAGGAUCUUCGGACUUCGUGCUAUUAGAUGAGCCUGCGUAAGAUUAGCUAGUUGGUAGGGUAAAGGCCUACCAAGGCGACGAUCUUUAGCUGUUCUGAGAGGAUGAUCAGCCACACUGGGACUGAGACACGGCCCAGACUCCUACGGGAGGCAGCAGUGGGGAAUAUUGGACAAUGGGGGCAACCCUGAUCCAGCCAUGCCGCGUGUGUGAAGAAGGCC
RNAcentral lists this ribosomal RNA (383 nucleotides) under uncultured bacterium. RNAcentral's name for it is "bacterial SSU rRNA". It matches the Rfam family "Bacterial small subunit ribosomal RNA", at positions 30 to 416 of the family's 1533-position model. The record is from RNAcentral.